GACGAACGCUGGCGGCGUGCUUAACACAUGCAAGUCGAACGGAAAGGCCCGGCUUUUGUGGGGUGCUCGAGUGGCGAACGGGUGAGUAACACGUGAGUAACCUGCCCUUGACUGUGGGAUAACUUCAGGAAACUGGGGCUCAUACCGGAUAUGAGCUCCUGCUGCAUGGGGGGGGUUGGAAAGUUUCGGCGGUGCGGGAUGGACUCGCGGCUUAUCAGCUUGUUGGGGGGGUAGUGGCUUACCAAGGCUUUGACGGGUAGCCGGCCUGAGAGGGUGAACGGCCACAUUGGGACUGAGGUACGGCCCAGAAUCCUACGGGAGGCAGCAGUGGGAAGUAUUGCACAAUGGGCGGAAGCCUGAUGCAGCAGCGCCGCGUGCGGGAUGCCGGCUUUCGGGUUGUAAACCGCUUUCGACUGUGACGAAGAGUGAGUGACGGUAAUGGGUAAAGAAGCAACGGCUAACUACGUG
This 468-nucleotide ribosomal RNA is filed under the name uncultured bacterium. Its description in RNAcentral is "partial 16S ribosomal RNA". It matches the Rfam family "Bacterial small subunit ribosomal RNA", at positions 28 to 507 of the family's 1533-position model. The record is from RNAcentral.